GAUUACACCGCGACCUUAUCCACUCUGUAGACGCGGCUG
RNAcentral lists this non-coding RNA (39 nucleotides) under unclassified sequences. RNAcentral's name for it is "S4-Bacteroidia ribosomal protein leader". It matches the Rfam family "S4-Bacteroidia ribosomal protein leader". The record is from RNAcentral.